Ascosphaera aggregata is the source of this 72-nucleotide non-coding RNA. The record is from the annotation of a GenBank genome assembly. Lineage: Eukaryota; Fungi; Ascomycota; Eurotiomycetes; Onygenales; Ascosphaeraceae.
GCGUUAGUGGUGUAACGGUUAGCAUUAGCGCCUUCCAAGCGCUAGUUCCGGGUUCGACUCCCGGCUGACGCA